Molecule: ribosomal RNA, 548 nt
Filed under: Heterodesmus apriculus
Lineage: Eukaryota; Metazoa; Arthropoda; Ostracoda; Myodocopida; Cypridinidae
Description: partial large subunit ribosomal RNA
Rfam family: Bacterial large subunit ribosomal RNA (bases 135-548)
Source: RNAcentral
GACUGGUAUGGGAAAUCGCAUUAUCUUUUCUGGACGAUGUCAUUGUCUUUUCUUCGACCUUUUUAAAUUGGGGACUGGUAUGAAUGGGCUAAUUAGGAAUAGACUUUUUUAUUAGUAAUAACUUAAUUUUAUUAUCAAGUUAAAAGGCUUGGUUAAUGUAGAGUGACAAGAAGACCCUAAGAUUUUUACAGGGUAGUUGUUUAUUGGCUUGUGUGGCAGUAAAGAGGGUGAGUGAUUAUUUUGUUUAGCUGGGGCGGUUGGAAUAUUGUCUAUUUUGUAAUUUACUUUAAUGAUAGUAUUGUGUAUAUUAUUAUCCUUGUUGGAAGACAUGAUAAAUUACCUUAGGGAUAACAGCAUAAUCUUUUCUGAGAGACCGUAUUGACGAAGAGGUUUGUGACCUCGAUGUUGGAUUUGAAUAACUUUUAGGGACCGCACUUGCAAAAGUUGGUCUGUUCGACCAUUAAAUCUCACAUUGAUUUUGAACACUUUCAGCUCCUGUGAAUGACCCCACCCCUGAUCUUCAACACAAGCCAAUUUAAAAUCCUCAA